RNAcentral lists this ribosomal RNA (272 nucleotides) under uncultured prokaryote. RNAcentral describes it as "partial 16S ribosomal RNA". It matches the Rfam family "Bacterial small subunit ribosomal RNA", at positions 524 to 796 of the family's 1533-position model. The record is from RNAcentral.
GACGUAGGGCGCGAGCGUUGUCCGGAUUUAUUGGGCGUAAAGAGCUCGUAGGCGGCUUGUUGCGUCAGCUGUGAAAACCCGCAGCUCAACUGUGGGCUUGCAGCUGAUACGGGCAGGCUUGAGUUCGGUAGGGGAGACUGGAAUUCCUGGUGUAGCGGUGAAAUGCGCAGAUAUCAGGAGGAACACCGGUGGCGAAGGCGGGUCUCUGGGCCGAUACUGACGCUGAGGAGCGAAAGCGUGGGGAGCGAACAGGAUUAGAAACCCGGUAGUCC